This 766-nucleotide ribosomal RNA is filed under the name Gibellula longicaudata. Its description in RNAcentral is "partial 28S ribosomal RNA". It matches the Rfam family "Eukaryotic large subunit ribosomal RNA", at positions 104 to 900 of the family's 3401-position model. Lineage: Eukaryota; Fungi; Ascomycota; Sordariomycetes; Hypocreales; Cordycipitaceae. The record is from RNAcentral.
CAGCUCAAAUUUGAAAUCUGGCCCUACGGGCCCGAGUUGUAGUUUGCAGAGGACGCUCUGGGCGAGGCGCCUUCCGAGUUCCCUGGAACGGGACGCCGUAGAGGGUGAGAGCCCCGUACGGUUGGACGCUAGGCCUAUGUAGAGCUCCUUCGACGAGUCGAGUAGUUUGGGAAUGCUGCUCAAAACGGGAGGUAUAUGUCUUCUAAAGCUAAAUACCGGCCAGAGACCGAUAGCGCACAAGUAGAGUGAUCGAAAGAUGAAAAGCACUUUGGAAAGAGGGUUAAAGAGUACGUGAAAUUGUUGAAAGGGAAGCGCCCACGACCAGACUUGGGCCUGGCAGACCAACCGGCGUUGUCGCUGGGGCGCGCUGCCAGGCACAGGCCAGCAUCAGCCUGGCGCGGGGGAUAAAGGCGGCGGGAACGUGGCUCCCCUGUGGAGUGUUAUAGCCCGCCGCGCAAUGCCCUGGGCCGGGCUGAGGAUCGCGCAUUCGCAAGGAUGCUGGCGUAAUGGUCGCGAGCGACCCGUCUUGAAACACGGACCAAGGAGUCGUCCUCGUAUGCGAGUGUUGGGGUGGCAAACCCCUACGCGGAAUGAAAGUGAACGCAGGUGAGAGCCUCGGCGCAUCACCGACCGAUCCUGAUGUCCUCGGAUGGAUUUGAGUAGGAGCAUACGGGGCCGGACCCGAAAGAAGGUGAACUAUGCCUGUGUAGGGUGAAGCCAGAGGAAACUCUGGUGGAGGCUCGCAGCGGUUCUGACGUGCGAAUCG